GGACGUUUAGCUCAGUUGGUAGAGCAACGGACUCUUAAUCCGUGGGUCGCGGGUUCGAACCCCUCAACGUCCA
RNAcentral lists this transfer RNA (73 nucleotides) under Eremococcus coleocola ACS-139-V-Col8. It matches the Rfam family "tRNA". Rfam says of the family: Transfer RNA (tRNA) molecules are approximately 80 nucleotides in length. Their secondary structure includes four short double-helical elements and three loops (D, anti-codon, and T loops). RNAcentral also lists the same sequence under 1 other name. Lineage: Bacteria; Bacillati; Bacillota; Bacilli; Lactobacillales; Aerococcaceae. The record is from Rfam by way of RNAcentral.